Molecule: small nucleolar RNA, 89 nt
Filed under: Otolemur garnettii (small-eared galago)
Lineage: Eukaryota; Metazoa; Chordata; Mammalia; Primates; Galagidae
Description: Small nucleolar RNA SNORA11 (ENSOGAG00000021881.1)
Source: RNAcentral
UGAAUGAAUAAAAAGAAUCUUUAUUCAUUCAACAGGAGUCUGGAGUGAUUGUGGUGAGGGGCACACAAAUGAACAAAUUCCUUACAUGU